Small nucleolar RNA from Gopherus evgoodei (Goodes thornscrub tortoise), 142 nucleotides. Lineage: Eukaryota; Metazoa; Chordata; Testudines; Testudinidae. The record is from Ensembl.
CCUCCCUUGCUACCUGGGCAAAGAGGCGUCUGGUUGGUGGCGCAGCUCUUCAAUCUAGCAGGGAGAGAGAAAUGAGCCCUCGUUCAUCCCAGUGCAGUAUCCUGGGCGGUGGCUGUCGCUGGUUCAUGCAGGGGGCACACGG